RNAcentral lists this ribosomal RNA (768 nucleotides) under uncultured bacterium. Its description in RNAcentral is "bacterial SSU rRNA". It matches the Rfam family "Bacterial small subunit ribosomal RNA", at positions 57 to 825 of the family's 1533-position model. The record is from RNAcentral.
GCAAGUCGAACGAAGCUUGAUUACGGAUUCUUCGGAUGAAGUAUGAUAUGACUGAGUGGCGGACGGGUGAGUAACGCGUGAGUAACCUGCCCUUCAGAGGGGGAUAGCGUUUGGAAACGAACGGUAAUACCGCAUAAUGUAUUUUGACCGCAUGAUCGAAAUACCAAAGAUUUAUCGCUGAAGGAUGGACUCGCGUCUGAUUAGGUAGUUGGUGGGGUAACGGCCUACCAAGCCGACGAUCAGUAGCCGGACUGAGAGGUUGAUCGGCCACAUUGGGACUGAGACACGGCCCAGACUCCUACGGGAGGCAGCAGUGGGGAAUAUUGCACAAUGGGCGCAAGCCUGAUGCAGCAACGCCGCGUGAAGGAAGACGGUUUUCGGAUUGUAAACUUCUGUUCUUAGUGAAGAAUAAUGACGGUAGCUAAGGAGCAAGCCACGGCUAACUACGUGCCAGCAGCCGCGGUAAUACGUAGGUGGCAAGCGUUGUCCGGAAUUACUGGGUGUAAAGGGAGCGCAGGCGGGUGAUCAAGUCAGCUGUGAAAACUACGGGCUUAACCCGUAGACUGCAGUUGAAACUGUUCAUCUUGAGUGAAGUAGAGGUUGGCGGAAUUCCGAGUGUAGCGGUGAAAUGCGUAGAUAUUCGGAGGAACACCGGUGGCGAAGGCGGCCAACUGGGCUUUAACUGACGCUGAGGCUCGAAAGUGUGGGGAGCAAACAGGAUUAGAUACCCUGGUAGUCCACACUGUAAACGAUGAUUGCUAGGUGUGG